Molecule: RNA transcript, 3842 nt
Organism: Dermacentor silvarum
Lineage: Eukaryota; Metazoa; Arthropoda; Arachnida; Ixodida; Ixodidae
Gene name: cytochrome P450 3A8
Exons: 9
Source: RefSeq, a predicted model, not a curated record
CACAACAAGGAAGUGACGCGGUUGCCGCGACGUCGUGCCCGCGUUGCAGGAGUUUGUGGUUGCGCGUGAUUGCGGCUGGACAGUAGAACGCUCCCACCCUUUCGCGUACGUCGUGCUUCGGUUGAGACAUAUCAUGGCGGUCACCAUGGGGUGAACUGGGCUAAGACAAGUGACGCUCGGUCGCCCUCACCGACAUGUUUCUGUUCCUUGUGGGCACGCUGGCCGCGCUGUUGGCCACCUGGCUACUCGUGUGGGUCCGGGGACGUCGCCAAGGGUAUGGCUUCUUUCGUAGGUACAGCAUUGAUGGACCGACGCCCCAUCUGCUCUGGGGAAAUUGGAUGCAACUUAAGGAAGACAGGAUAGCGGUGCUGGAAGAGUGGAUUGCGAAGUAUGGCAAGGUGUUCGGAUUCUACAAGGGCACCGUACCGUACCUGGUCAUCAGCGACGUGGACAUGAUCAAGGAAUGUUUCAUCAAGGAGUCAGGUGUCUUUUACGACCGACCCAGGGCUGCCCUGGUCGUCAAGCCGUACAACAAGACGCUGAUCUUCCUACAAGGGCAGGACUGGAAGCACGUGAGGACGGUGUUGAACCCGAGUUUCAGCGCCGCCAAGAUGAAGUUGAUGACGCCCAUCAUCAGCCGGUGCGUACACGACUUCAUGGACGUGCUCGAGAGGAAAGCGGAGACAGGCGAACCGCUCGACGCCAUGCAAGUCUCGCAGGGGCUCUCGUUGGACGUGAUCGCAAACUGUGCGCUGGCUUGGCAGCUGGACGGCCAAAAGAAGCCGGACAACCCCCUGGCGCAGCUGCUGCGUGGAAUCCUGUACGAGGCCGAGACUGCGUUCACCAUGAGCUUCGUGGCUCUCCCUUUCUUGGGAAAGUGCGCAUCGUGGUCGUACAGUGCCACUCUGCAUUACAAGCGCACCUGGGAGAUCAUCGACAACGUUCGCCGCGUGGUCGAGGCACGACGGCGCUCGCAGAAGGUCGGGGACCUGAGCAGCGGCAGCCGCAGGGUGGACAUCCUGCAGCUCCUCUUGGAUGCCCAGGAGGCGGCUAAAGCGGGCACUGAAGCCUCAAAAGUGACUGCCGAGCAGCCGACAGGCGCUGCCGAGCCCAUUGACGACGACACGCUGCUGGCUAACAGCCUGCUGUUCCUGGUCGCCGGUUUCGAGACCACCGCAAGCACCCUGUCAUUCAUUCUACAUCUGAUGGCUCAGUACCCCGAGGAGCAGGACAAGUUGCACGAGGAACUCGUGCGAAGGUAUCCGGUGGACGAAGACCUGGAUUAUGGCCAGCUACAAGAACUCGAGCGGCUGGAUAUGUUCGUCAAGGAAGCGCUGAGGCUCUACCCUCCGGUGACAAUGCUGGUGUCGCGCCACUGUCGCGCCGACACGACCAUUCUUGGUCAGUUCUUCCCGGCCGGAUGCGAGGUGCUCGCACCGCUCUGGCACGUUCACCACGACCCUCAAAUUUGGCCCGAACCAUUUCGAUUCAACCCCGAGCGAUUUGCCCCAGCAGUAGCGAAGGAUAUUCAUCCCGGCGCUUUCAUACCCUUCGGCAUCGGGCCCAAGUCUUGCAUCGGGAACAGGUUUGCCUUACUUGAAUUGAAGGCCGCACUGUGCAAGCUCUUGAGGAGAUACGAGGUACUGCCGUGCUCGCGAGUUGAAGACCCUAUAGGGCUCAUCGUGCAGACGGUGAUUAUCCGCCCUAAGACACCUAUACAGGUCAAGCUGCGGCAUAGGACAGAAGCCGGGGCUAGCGCCAAGCCGUAAAACACGCUGGCAACGGAAGACAACAUUCUACUGCGUACGCUCUUUUGAUACAGCAUGGUUAAAAACCCGUAGUGGAAAAGCCGAAUCAUCGUGAACCGGCAGUUUUUCUACAUCUCUACCUUGCAGACAUCGGAACGAAGGGCUAUUGAGGCACAAUAAACACUUGCAAUUUUAGAUUCUCCAAAAGCCGUGACUCGCGUAACCGACGCGAACCAAAAAUGGAAUGCACACGCCCAACCACUGAUCAGCCAUGCGGUCGUGGUGAUUUUGCAGCCGAAGUUUUCAGCAGAACGCCGGCGAAAUUUCAAAUAUUGAAGUCAAUGGAAAUUGCCACAUUUUGAACAGGGACGAGUGAGAACGAGUUGUCUGCGGUAUGUACUGCUCUUCACGGCCGUGGAACAUCGAGUGACCUCUGUGCAUUCAAUAUAUAUAUAUAUAUAUAUAUAUAUAUAUAUAUAUAUAUACACAUAUAUAUAUAAAGGGUUGUCCAAAACUGAUGUCAUGUGCAUGACUAGUUAUGCUGUGAAGAUGCUGCGAGAGGUUGCAGCCUCUUUAUGGUGGGCUCAGAAUUCGCUUCUGCGAGCCCAUAUGUGCUACUGUAAACUUUAUCAUACAGGCAUGCCUCGACCAAUAGAGGCAAGUGUGAACAUGCCUGUCUCGCGUUGGAACGUACCUGAACAUUCUGAGUACGUUUUACAUUGACAACGAGUCGUGUUGUACGUUUUACGCACACCAUUUUUUUUUAUGUCUCCCACUUUUGCCCUGCCCAAGUUCAAUGCGCGCAGAACAGCACAUCGUGGGAAAUACGGUCGAAGGCUCAUGCAAGACGAAAUUGUACCAUAGCCACUUGCCCCCCUUUGAAGUCACAUUGCUCGAGUACACUUUGCGACACAUGCACAUUUUGUAGCGAUACUGCGGGUUUUAAUGCAGUGUUUUUAAAUUAUUUUAUGUAGCUCACACAAAAAAUGUACGUACACAAACUGAAAACGUUGUUGGAUCCUAUAGUUAUCGCAGCUGGUGUCGGGAAGAUUGGAAAAAAAAAUACGGAUUUUUCUUUUGCAGGAACACAAGAUGCAGCAUACACACGUUUUACAAACUAAUAUAAUGCACAGGGACUUGAUGAUUCACAGUAAUAUGCAUUCACACAUAUAUAAUAAGGACUCAUUUAGCGCAGGUAAAAGGUUACUAGUUUUAACAUAAUUUUCAAUUGAAUUUCAAAUAAGGACUGGAAUAAAUUUGAAUGAUCUCAUUUCCAUUCUAGAAAUGAGUUCGAACUAAAAAAGUUAACUUGUCGCGUUUCGAAUGCUACAAACGUACUCGUAUCUGUCACGAGGCCUACUAAGUCACUACAACUCAGACAUCCCGGCAAAUUGCCCAGACUGCCCAGAACUUUAUUGCUCACUCUCGCACGUACCGCGUUAGCAAAGGGCCCUCUCUCCAGUGAGCCCGAAUGGGAAGACGCCCUCAAAAGCCGGACCCCAAACUCCAACUCAAGGCUGUCCAGAGGGCCCAAGAACUGGCGGAGCGUCACCACGUUCCCGUCCCCACUUGGGCCAGAGGAGCUCCCCGCGUGGAAUCUCCAACGGCUUAAAACUCCUCUGGACCUCAAUAAAGUUCUUGACUGACGUACAUUUUCAUCGGCUUAGAUUCUUCGCCGUAGAUGCUGCCUCUUGUUCCCUUUAUAUGAUUUGAGAAUAAAUCGUUCCGCAUUCACGGGCCGUGGGUAAGGGUCGGGUACAUAGGUCGGCAUACGCACUCACGAGCGCACUGACUCGUACUCGCUCCAUAUUUAUUUUACAGGCCUGAGAUGAAGCGUUAGUGAGUGACGAAGGGUGUGAGUGGACACGUGAGUAUAAGAACGAGAGUGAGUAUGAGCAGGAGUGAGUGACGGUCAUCGUGAGCGCGAACGAAAGUCACCGACGGUGAUUUCAAGUCGACGAGAGUGACGGUCGGAGAGUGUGGGUGGACCUGAAGUGACGGUCGGAGAGUGUGGGUGGACCUGAGUAAGGAUGCGAGCGAGUGUCCGUAAGUGGGAGUGGAUGCGAGAAUGAGCGGGGUUGAGUGCCAGGAAGU